UACGUAGGGUGCGAGCGUUGUCCGGAAUUAUUGGGCGUAAAGGGCUCGUAGGCGGCUUGUCGCGUCGGGAGUGAAAACCAGGUGCUUAACACCUGGCUUGCUUUCGAUACGGGCAGACUAGAGGUAUUCAGGGGAGAACGGAAUUCCUGGUGUAGCGGUGAAAUGCGCAGAUAUCAGGAGGAACACCGGUGGCGAAGGCGGUUCUCUGGGAAUGACCUGACGCUGAGGAGCGAAAGUGUGGGGAGCGAACAGG
Molecule: ribosomal RNA, 253 nt
Filed under: uncultured bacterium
Lineage: Bacteria
Description: partial 16S ribosomal RNA
Rfam family: Bacterial small subunit ribosomal RNA
Source: RNAcentral